GAUGAACGCUGGCGGCGUGCCUAAUACAUGCAAGUCGAGCGAACGGACGAGAAGCUUGCUUCUCUGAUGUUAGCGGCGGACGGGUGAGUAACACGUGGAUAACCUACCUAUAAGACUGGGAUAACUUCGGGAAACCGUAGCUAAUACCGGAUAAUAUUUUGAACCGCAUGGUUCAAUAGUGAAAGACGGUCUUGCUGUCACUUAUAGAUGGAUCCGCGCUGCAUUAGCUAGUUGGUAAGGUAACAGCUUACCAAGGCAACCAUGCAUAGCCGACCUGAGAGGGUGAUAGGCCACACUGGAAGUGAGACAGGGUCCAGACUCCUAAGGGAGGCAGCAGUAGGGAAUCUUCCGCAAUGGGCGAAAGCCUGACGGAGCAACGCCGAGUGAGAGAUGAAGGUCUUCAGAUCGUAAAACUCUGUUAUGAGGGAAGAACAGAUGUGUAGGGAAAUGUGGAGAGCUUGACGGUACCUAAUCAGAAAGCCACGGCUAACUACGUG
RNAcentral lists this ribosomal RNA (497 nucleotides) under uncultured bacterium. RNAcentral describes it as "partial 16S ribosomal RNA". It matches the Rfam family "Bacterial small subunit ribosomal RNA", at positions 28 to 507 of the family's 1533-position model. The record is from RNAcentral.